CGUUAAAAAUUUUAUCCAUUUGUACCUUUAAAAACUUAUGUUGCUGACGGAAUAAGCUGACUGUAAUAUGUGAUAUGUAGUUGAUGUGCAGAGACUAAUUUUCUAACUGUAAAAAUAAAUAAAAUUUUGAACG
RNAcentral lists this microRNA precursor (133 nucleotides) under Gossypium barbadense (sea-island cotton). RNAcentral's name for it is "MIR7502 microRNA precursor family". It matches the Rfam family "MIR7502 microRNA precursor family". Lineage: Eukaryota; Viridiplantae; Streptophyta; Magnoliopsida; Malvales; Malvaceae. The record is from Rfam by way of RNAcentral. RNAcentral also lists the same sequence under 1 other name.